AACAUACAACAGUAGGGAUUCGCAUGUGGUCACCCACCAUACUACUAACCUACCGGCGUGUGGCUUAAGUACGGCUGAGCGGACGGGAAGCCCUGUUUUCCACACCCUAUGGUCGUAUGU
This 120-nucleotide ribosomal RNA is filed under the name Aspergillus nidulans FGSC A4. Lineage: Eukaryota; Fungi; Ascomycota; Eurotiomycetes; Eurotiales; Aspergillaceae. The record is from RNAcentral.